Molecule: unclassified non-coding RNA, 212 nt
Filed under: soil metagenome
Description: partial contains 5.8S ribosomal RNA, internal transcribed spacer 2, and large subunit ribosomal RNA
Source: RNAcentral
AACAAGGCGUACCUGCGGACCUGCGGAGGGAUCAUUACAAGUGACCCCGGUUUAACCACCGGGAUGUUCAUAACCCUUUGUUGUCCGACUCUGUUGCCUCCGGGGCGACCCUGCCUUCGGGCGGGGGCUCCGGGUGGACACUUCAAACUCUUGCGUAACUUUGCAGUCUGAGUAAACUUAAUUAAUAAAUUAAAACUUUCAACAAUGGAUCU